AUUGAACGCUGGCGGCAGGCUUAACACAUGCAAGUCGAGCGGGGGAAGGUAGCUUGCUACCGGACCUAGCGGCGGACGGGUGAGUAAUGCUUAGGAAUCUGCCUAUUAGUGGGGGACAACAUCUCGAAAGGGAUGCUAAUACCGCAUACGUCCUACGGGAGAAAGCAGGGGAUCUUCGGACCUUGCGCUAAUAGAUGAGCCUAAGUCGGAUUAGCUGGUUGGUGGGGUAAAGGCCUACCAAGGCGACGAACUGUAGCGGGUCUGAGAGGAUGAUCCGCCACACUGGGACUGAGACACGGCCCAGACUCCGUCGGGAGGCAGCAGUGGGGAAUAUUGGACGAUGGGGGGAACCCUGAUCCAGCCAUGCCGCGUGUGUGAAGAAGGCCUUAUGGUUGUAAAGCACUUUAAGCGAGGAGGAGGCUACUUUAGUUAAUACCUAGAGAUAGUGGACGUUACUCGCAGAAUAAGCACCGGCUAACUCUGUGCCAGCCGCCGCGGUAA
Molecule: ribosomal RNA, 501 nt
Filed under: uncultured bacterium
Lineage: Bacteria
Description: partial 16S ribosomal RNA
Rfam family: Bacterial small subunit ribosomal RNA
Source: RNAcentral